AACGAACGCUGGCGGCAGGCUUAACACAUGCAAGUCGAGCGAGACCUUCGGGUCUAGCGGCGGACGGGUGAGUAACGCGUGGGAACGUGCCCUUCUCUACGGAAUAGCCCCGGGAAACUGGGAGUAAUACCGUAUACGCCCUUUGGGGGAAAGAUUUAUCGGAGAAGGAUCGGCCCGCGUUGGAUUAGGUAGUUGGUGGGGUAAUGGUCCACCAAGCCGACGAUCCAUAGCUGGUUUGAGAGGAUGAUCAGCCACACUGGGACUGAGACACGGCCCAGACUCCCACGGGAGGCAGCAGUGGGGAAUCUUAGACAAUGGGGGCAACCCUGAUCUAGCCAUGCCGCGUGAGUGAUGAAGGCCUUAGGGUUGUAAAGCUCUUUCAGCUGGGAAGAUAAUGACGGUACCAGCAGAAGAAGCCCCGGCUAACUCCGUG
This 433-nucleotide ribosomal RNA is filed under the name uncultured bacterium. RNAcentral's name for it is "partial 16S ribosomal RNA". It matches the Rfam family "Bacterial small subunit ribosomal RNA", at positions 29 to 507 of the family's 1533-position model. The record is from RNAcentral.